CCCGCCCCUAGAGGCAUUGAAGGCAUUGCUGCUGUGUCACGUGUGUCACUAGAUGGCAGAGAGGAGAGAGGUUAUGUCUACCCUCAGGGUUGUGACCUGUGAGCAUUUGAAUAACUAGAAGCUUAACAUU
Small nucleolar RNA from Rattus norvegicus (Norway rat), 130 nucleotides. Ensembl annotates it as small nucleolar RNA SNORA17. The record is from Ensembl. NCBI's taxonomy places the organism in Eukaryota, Metazoa, Chordata, Mammalia, Rodentia, Muridae.